This 429-nucleotide ribosomal RNA is filed under the name Sphingopyxis witflariensis. RNAcentral's name for it is "bacterial SSU rRNA". It matches the Rfam family "Bacterial small subunit ribosomal RNA", at positions 12 to 487 of the family's 1533-position model. Lineage: Bacteria; Pseudomonadati; Pseudomonadota; Alphaproteobacteria; Sphingomonadales; Sphingopyxidaceae. The record is from RNAcentral.
UUUGAUCCUGGGUCAGAACGAACGCUGGCGGCAUGCCUAACACAUGCAAGUCGAACGAACUCUUNGGAGUUAGUGGCGCACGGGUGCGUAACGCGUGGGAAUCUGCCCUUGGGUACGGAAUAACUCAGAGANAUUUGUGCUAAUACCGUAUAAUGUCUUCGGACCAAAGAUUUAUCGCCCAAGGAUGAGCCCGCGUAAGAUUAGCUAGUUGGUGAGGUAAAAGCUCACCAAGGCGACGAUCUUUAGCUGGUCUGAGAGGAUGAUCAGCCACACUGGGACUGAGACACGGCCCAGACUCCUACGGGAGGCAGCAGUGGGGAAUAUUGGACAAUGGGCGAAAGCCUGAUCCAGCAAUGCCGCGUGAGUGAUGAAGGCCUUAGGGUUGUAAAGCUCUUUUACCCGGGAUGAUAAUGACAGUACCGGGAGAAU